This 1278-nucleotide long non-coding RNA is filed under the name Oncorhynchus mykiss (rainbow trout). Its description in RNAcentral is "lncRNA (ENSOMYG00000069206.1)". Lineage: Eukaryota; Metazoa; Chordata; Actinopteri; Salmoniformes; Salmonidae. The record is from RNAcentral.
AUGUUCCCCCAAACCCCAUGUUCCCCAAAACCCCAUGUUACCCAAACCCCAUGUUACCCAAAAUCCAAUUUUCCCACACCACAUGUUACCCCAAACCCCAUGUUACCCCAAACCCCAUGUUACCCAAACCUCAUGUUUUUUCAAAACCCCAUGUUACCAAAACCCCAUGUUACUCGAAACCCCAUAUUACCCAAAACCCCAUGUUACCCAAAACCCCAUGUUACCCAUAACCCCAUGUUACCCCAAAACCCCAUGUUACCCAAACCUCAUGUUUUUUCAAAACCCCAUGUUACCAAAACCCCAUGUUACCAAAACCCCAUGUUACUCAAAACCCCAUGUUACCCAAAACCCCAUGUUACCCAUAACCCCAUGUUACCCCAAAACCCCAUGUUACCAAAACCCCAUGUUACCCAAACCUCAUGUUAUCCAAAACCCCAUGUUACCCAAAUUCCCAUGUUACCCCCAUGUUACCAAAACACCAUGUUACUAAAACCCCAUGUUACCCCCAUGUUCCCAAAACCCCAUGUUACUAAAACCCAUGUUACCCCCAUGUUACCAAAACACCAUGUUACUAAACCCCAUGUUACCAAAACCCCAUGUUACCAAAACCCCAUGUUACCCAAAACACCAUGUUACCCAAUCCCCAUGUUACCCAAACCACCAUGUUACCCAAAACACCAUGAUACCCAAACCCCAUGUUACCCAGAACCCCAUGUUACUAAAACCCCAUGUUACCAAAACCCCAUGUUACCAAAACACCAUGUUACCCAAAACACCAUGUUACCCAAAACACCAUGUUACCCAAAACACCAUGUUACCAAAAACCCCAUGUUACCCAAAACACCAUGUUACCCAAAUUCCCAUGUUACCCAAAACACCAUGUUACCCAAAACACCAUGUUACCAAAAACCCCAUGUUACCCAAAACACCAUGUUACCCAAAUUCCCAUGUUACCCAAAACACCAUGUUACCCAAUCCCCAUGUUACCCAAAACACCAUGUUACCCAAUCCCCAUGUUACCCAAAACACCAUGUUACCCAAAACACCAUGAUACCCAAACCCCAUGUUACCCAGAACCCCAUGUUACUAAAAACCCAUGUUACCCCAAACCCCAUGUUACCCAAAACCCCAUGUUACCAAAACCCCAUGUUACCCAAAACCCAUGUUACCCAAAACCCAUGUUACCCAAAACCCCAUGUUCCCAAAACCCCUUGUUACCCAAAACCCCAUGUUACCCAAACCCCAUGUUUCUCUGGUGGUAAAAAACAAACUAAAUGA